RNAcentral lists this ribosomal RNA (253 nucleotides) under uncultured bacterium. RNAcentral's name for it is "partial 16S ribosomal RNA". It matches the Rfam family "Bacterial small subunit ribosomal RNA", at positions 524 to 776 of the family's 1533-position model. The record is from RNAcentral.
UACGUAGGGGGCAAGCGUUGUCCGGAUUUAUUGGGCGUAAAGAGCGUGUAGGCGGCCAGACAGGUCUGCUGUGAAAACUCGAGGCUCAACCUCGAGACGUCGGUUGAAACCGUACGGCUAGAGUCCGGAAGAGGAGAGUGGAAUUCCCGGUGUAGCGGUGAAAUGCGCAGAUAUCGGGAAGAACACCCGUGGCGAAGGCGGCUCUCUGGGACGGUACUGACGCUGAGACGCGAAAGCGUGGGGAGCGAACAGG